This 466-nucleotide ribosomal RNA is filed under the name uncultured bacterium. Its description in RNAcentral is "partial 16S ribosomal RNA". It matches the Rfam family "Bacterial small subunit ribosomal RNA", at positions 28 to 507 of the family's 1533-position model. The record is from RNAcentral.
GAUGAACGCUGGCGGCGUGCUUAACACAUGCAAGUCGAACGAUGAAGCCCAGCUUGCUGGGUGGAUUAGUGGCGAACGGGUGAGUAACACGUGAGUAACCUGCCCUUGACUCUGGGAUAAGCCUGGGAAACUGGGUCUAAUACUGGAUAUGACUUCUCAUCGCAUGGUGGGGGGUGGAAAGAUUUAUUGGUAUUGGGUGGACUCGCGGCCUAUCAGCUUGUUGGUGAGGUAAUGGCUCACCAAGGCGACGACGGGUAGCCGGCCUGGGAGGGUGACCGGCCACACUGGGACUGAGACACGGCCCAGACUCCUACGGGAGGCAGCAGUGGGGAAUAUUGCACAAUGGGCGCAAGCCUGAUGCAGCGACGCCGCGUGAGGGAUGACGGCCUUCGGGUUGUAAACCUCUUUCAGUAGGGAAGAAGCGAGAGUGACGGUACCUGCAGAAGAAGCGCCGGCUAACUACGUG